Molecule: ribosomal RNA, 254 nt
Filed under: uncultured bacterium
Lineage: Bacteria
Description: partial 16S ribosomal RNA
Rfam family: Bacterial small subunit ribosomal RNA
Source: RNAcentral
UACGUAGGGUGCGAGCGUUAAUCGGAUUUACUGGGCGUAAAGCGCACGUAGGCGGAUCUUUAAGUCAGAGGUGAAAUCCCAAGGCUCAACCUUGGAACUGCCUUUGAUACUGGGGAUCUUGAGUCCGGGAGAGGUGAGUGGAAUUCCCAGUGUAGAGGUGAAAUUCGUAGAUAUUGGGAAGAACACCGGUGGCGAAGGCGGCUCACUGGCCCGUAACUGACGCUCAUGCACGACAGCGUGGGGAGUCAAACAGG